UAAGUGAGAAUACUUUUGUCUUUUCCUCUGUGUCUCUGUUAUGGUUGCAGAGAGGUAGAGAGCAAAACUGAACCAAUCUCCACGACCUUUGCUUCCUCCAAUCCAGUCCUUUUACUAAUUUCAAAAUUCCAGAAUAAGGUGUGAGCAAUGCCGGCAAAACCUGGGAAUGAUGAUCGGCAGAUAGAUAAUGGUGCUCAAAGGGUGUUGCAGUCAACUUCAUACUCUGAACCCUGGUGGAAAGGAGUUGGGACUAACCCCUUUGGUGAAUCUGCCUCUAAGUCACCUUCCGUAGAACAACUAAAUGGUUCAAUGGAAAACGGAGCUGUAGAUUUGCUGCCUCAUAGUGGCUUAGGCAAUGAAGAUAGGAGAAAUGGACAAGAUCGCCAACAUCUCAAGCAUGUUCCUUCCGCAACACCCCUUACUUUGGGUGAACACCAUGAACCUAAUUCUCAAAUGGAACUAGUUGGUCACUCAAUUGUCUUGACAUCAUAUCCUUAUUCAGAUUCUCAGCAUGGUGGAAUACUUACUCUUUAUGGGCCACAAAUGAUGGUGCCACCACAUCUAUACGGAAUGCAUCAUGCUAGAAUGCCUUUGCCUCUUCAAAUGGAAGAGGAGCCUGUCUAUGUAAAUGCAAAGCAGUAUCAUGGAAUUCUGAGGCGAAGACAGAUACGUGCCAAGGCAGAGCUUGAAAAGAAAGCCAUUAAAGUUAGAAAGCCGUACCGUCAUGAGUCCCGACAUCUACAUGCUAUGAGAAGGGCUAGGGGUUGUGGAGGUCGUUUUCUUAACACAAAGAAGCUGACUGACGAUGUUAUUAGUCUCACCUCAGGAAAGGGCAAGAAUUCGGGUGAAAAUGUCUUUUCUGGAUCCGAGCGUGAAUCUGCCAACAGUGCUGGAAAUAUGAAUUCCUCCUUUGGUCAGCAAGAAGGAAAUUGUGCAAGGGAUAUUGCAAGCGGGUAUGGGGCAUGACAUGGGGCCCCUUCUAUUAAAUGAAAUUUCUCCUUGAGGUGGGUGAUUCUCGCCAGCAGGCAGCACUGGAGGUAUUCGGUCCUUCGAUCUUGGGUGGCGGCGGAAUCCCUCUCAGGCAAUUCAUUCUUGGCUUGGUUACUGAUGGUUAAGGGGGUUAUGAGGAGAAAUGUGGUCUUUUGUUUCAUCUUCACUUUGGUAAAAAUAGUUUGAACUUCAACAUGCCUCCCUUCGGACCCUUUUGUAAAAUAAUGAAAAAAAUAGGUGUUGUAUGUACCGAGUGGCAAACAGUUGUGAAUGUGCAAAACAUAAAACAGAUUAAGUUGAGUGUGUAUAAGGGCGUGGAGACGUGUAAGAGCUUUAAACUUUUCCAGCAGUGCGGCCUUAAUAACGUAAAUGGUCUCUCUAUGUUU
This is an RNA transcript of Hibiscus syriacus, 1376 nucleotides long. It is a transcript of the gene named nuclear transcription factor Y subunit A-7-like, with no coding region annotated. Lineage: Eukaryota; Viridiplantae; Streptophyta; Magnoliopsida; Malvales; Malvaceae. The transcript has 7 exons. The record is from RefSeq and is a predicted model, not a curated record.